Molecule: ribosomal RNA, 455 nt
Filed under: uncultured bacterium
Lineage: Bacteria
Description: bacterial SSU rRNA
Rfam family: Bacterial small subunit ribosomal RNA
Source: RNAcentral
GAUGAACGUUGGCGGUGUGCCUAAUACAUGCAAGUCGAACGGAGACUGUAGCAAUACUGUCUUAGUGGCGAACGGGUGAGUAACGCGUUGGUGAUCUGCCUCGAAGUGUGGAAUAACCUCCCGAAAGGGAAGCUAAUACCGCAUAGUCUCUCAAGGUUUAGAAAAUUGAGAGUAAAGGAUUUAUUCGCUUCGAGAGGAGCCUGCGUCCCAUCAGCUAGUUGGUAGGGUAACGGCCUACCAAGGCAAUGACGGGUAGGGACCUGAGAGGGUGCCCCCCAAAUGGAACUGAAACACGGUCCAUACACCUACGGGUGGCAGCAGUAGGGAAUAUUAGAAAUGGGCGGAAGCCUGAUCUAGCAACACCGCGUGUGCGAUGAAGGCCUUGGGUCGUAAAGCACUUUUUGGAGGGAUGAGGAAGGACAGUACCUCCAGAAUAAGCCUCGGCUAACUACGUG